UCGAUUGAACGAGAAAAGGUACUCAUUGCAAAGUUAUACUGUUAGGGCAUAACUGAGUAGUCUAAUGUUGUUCCGGUUUUGGUUCUUGUCAAGGUUGACAUCAAUUCGUUCCAAAUUUACACUCUCAGGGCAUAAUAGAACAAUAUAAUUGGCUUUUACUCUUUGUUCGAUUGAAUGAGAAAAAGUCCUCGUUGCAAAGUUAUACUGUUAGGGCGCAACUGAGUAGUCUAAUGUUGUUCUAGUUUUCUAUCUUCUGACCAUAGACAUCACUUCGUUCCAAAUUUACAUUCUCAGUUCAUAAUAGAACAAUAUAAUUAGCUUUUACUCUUUUUUCGAUUGAUUGAGAAAAAGUACUCGUUGCAAAGUUAUACUGUUAGGGCGCAACUGAGUAAUCUAAUGUUGUUCCGAUUUUCGUUCUUUUCAACGUUGACAUCGAUUCGUUCUAAAUUAACAAUCUCGGGGCAUAAUAGAACACUAUAAUUAGCUUUUGCUCUUUGUUUGAUUGAAGGAGAAAAGGUACUCGUUGCAAAGUUAUACUGUUAGGGCGCAACUGAGUAGUCUAAUGUUGUUCCAGUUUUGGUUCUUGUCAACGUUGACAUCGAUUCGUUCUAAAUUAACAAUCUCGGGGCAUAAUAGAGCAAUAUAAUUAGCUUUUACUCUUUGUUCGAUUGAAUGAGAAAAGGUACUCGUUGCAAAGUUAUACUGUUAGGGCGCAACUGAGUAGUCUAAUGUUGUUCCGGUUUCGGUUCUUUUCAACGUUGACAUCGAUUCUUUCUAAAUUAACAAUCUCGGGGCAUAAUAGAACAAUAUAAUUAGCUUUUACUCUUUGUUCGAUUGAACGAGAAAUGGUACUCGUUGCAAUGUUAUACUGUUAGGGCGCAACUGAGUAGUCUAAUGUUGUUCCGAUUUUGGUUCUUGUUAACGUUGACAUCGAUUCGUUCUAAAUUAACAAUCUCGGGGCAUAAUAGAACAAUAUAAUUAGCUUUUACGCUUUGUUCGAUUGAAUGAGAAAAGGUACACGUUGCAAAGUUAUACUGGUAGGGCGCAACUGACUAGUCUAUUGUUGCUCCGGUUUUGGUUCUUAUAAAGGUUGACAUCAAUCCGUUCCAAAUUUACACUCUUAGGGCAUAAUAGAACAAUAUAAUUGGCUUUUACUCUUUGUUCGAUUGAAUGAGAAAAAGUACUCGUUGCAAAUUUAUACUGUUAGGGCGCAACUGAGUAGUCUAAUGUUGUUCCAGUUUUCUAUCUUCUGAACAUAGACAACGCUUUGUUCCAAAUUUACAUUCUUAGUGCAUAAUAGAACAAUAUAAUUAGCUUUUACACUUCGUUCGUUUGAUGGAG
Molecule: long non-coding RNA, 1341 nt
Filed under: Ananas comosus (pineapple)
Lineage: Eukaryota; Viridiplantae; Streptophyta; Magnoliopsida; Poales; Bromeliaceae
Description: long non-coding RNA (ACOM_LNC038272)
Source: RNAcentral